AAUGGCAAAUGAUGAAUGUUUUCUUAUCCUACACACUGAAUAAUCGUGUUGAUUACUAUACUCCGCUUAUUGUCUGAUGCCAAU
Small nucleolar RNA from Camellia sinensis, 84 nucleotides. RefSeq annotates it as small nucleolar RNA R16. The record is from RefSeq and is a predicted model, not a curated record. NCBI's taxonomy places the organism in Eukaryota, Viridiplantae, Streptophyta, Magnoliopsida, Ericales, Theaceae.